CGGUGGAUUAUGUGGAUUAAUUCGAUGCAACGCGAAAAACCUUACCUACCCUUGACAUGUACGGAACGCGGUGGAGACACCGCGGUGUCCGAAAGG
This 96-nucleotide ribosomal RNA is filed under the name uncultured bacterium. RNAcentral's name for it is "partial 16S ribosomal RNA". It matches the Rfam family "Bacterial small subunit ribosomal RNA", at positions 930 to 1024 of the family's 1533-position model. The record is from RNAcentral.